UUAUUAAUACCCCCAAAAACACCCAAUAUUAAUUAAACAAACCAUUUUUCCCCCCAAGUAUGGGCGACAGAAAAGGAACAUUUAGAGCUAUAGAAAAAGUACCGCAAGGGAAUGCUGAAAAAGAAGUGAAACAACUCAGUAAAGUUUAAAAAAGCAAAGAUUCACCCUUGUACCUUUUGCAUCAUGAUUUAGUCAGUAAAAACAAGCAAAAGGCACUUUAGUUUGAUUUCCCGAAACUAAGUGAGCUACUCCAAGACAGCCUAAAAUAGGGCCAACCCGUCUCUGUGGCAAAAGAGUGGGAUGAGCUUAGAGUAGAGGUGAUAAGCCUACCGAACUUAGUUAUAGCUGGUUGCCUGAGAAAUGAAUAGAAGUUCAGCUUUUUGGUUUCUCCCCCCAACCUGCUUAGCUAUGACGAACCAAAGAAGCCAAAAAAGUUAAUUAAAGGGGGUACAGCUCCUUUAAACAAGAUACAACUUCACCAGCCGGGUAAAGGUCAUAUACAAUUAAGGUAGAAUGUUUUAGUGGGCCCAAAAGCAGCCACCUAUAAGAAAGCGUCAAAGCUCCUUCAUACCACCCCCCCCCUCCAAAUUCAGAUAAUAUAUCCUAAACCCGCUAAUUUUAUCAAGCCGCCCUAUGCUACCAUAGGAGCGAUUAUGCUAAAAUGAGUAAUAAGAAAAGCCACCUUUUCUCCUUGCACUCGUGUAAAUCGAAACGGACCCCCCAUCGAUCAUUAAUCGGCCCCAAAAAAAGAGGGUAAUGAACUAUCAACCCCAAUAACAAGAAAAACACCCAAAUAUCAACCGUUAACCUCACACUAGUACGCUCACAAGGAAAGACUAAAAGAAAAAGAAGGAACUCGGCAAAUACAAGCCUCGCCUGUUUACCAAAAACAUCGCCUCUUGAAAACUAAGUAUAAGAGGUCC
RNAcentral lists this ribosomal RNA (923 nucleotides) under Betta pulchra. RNAcentral describes it as "partial 16S ribosomal RNA". The stretch from base 142 to 661 matches the Rfam family "Bacterial large subunit ribosomal RNA", at positions 573 to 1301 of the family's 2925-position model. The record is from RNAcentral. Lineage: Eukaryota; Metazoa; Chordata; Actinopteri; Anabantiformes; Osphronemidae.